AUGCUCACUUUGGCAACACAUAUACAAAGAUUGGGAAGAAACAGAGAAGAUUAGCAUGGCCCCUGCACAAGGAUGACAUUAAAAUUUGUGAAGUGUUUAAAAAAAAA
Small nuclear RNA from Suncus etruscus (white-toothed pygmy shrew), 107 nucleotides. The record is from RefSeq and is a predicted model, not a curated record. NCBI's taxonomy places the organism in Eukaryota, Metazoa, Chordata, Mammalia, Eulipotyphla, Soricidae.